GCUCAACAGCUAGCCUUAACCCCACCAACAACUAAAAACUAUAAAUACCCCCUAAUGACACACACACUCAAAACAAACCAUUUUUCCACCCCAGUACGGGCGACAGAACAGGACCCUAAAAGAGCAAUAGAAAAAGUACCGCAAGGGAACGCUGAAAGAGAAAUGAAACAAACCAGUAAAGCCCUAAAAAGCAGAGAUUAAAGCUCGUACCUUUUGCAUCAUGAAUUAGCUAGUAACAUAUAAACAAAGAGCCCUUUAGUUUAUUUCCCCGAAACUAGAUGAGCUACUCCGAGACAGCCCGUUAAAGGGGCAAACCCGUUUCUGUGGCAAAAGAAUGGGAAGAGCUCCGAGUAGAGGUGACAAACCUACCGAGUCUAGUUAUAGCUGGUUGCCCAGGAAACGAAUAGAAGUUCCGCCUCCCAGAUUCUUCCCUCAAACCUCAUCAAACACACCCGACACAAAGAAACUGCGAGAGUCACUCGAAGGGGGUACAGCCCCUUCGACCAAGAGACAGCUUUUACAGAAGGCUAAAGAUCAUAACCACCCAAGGUCUUAUAUUUUGGUGGGCCUAAAAGCAGCCACCCAUGAAGAAGGCGUUACAGCCCAAAUAUUAUUUAACCUAUUAUCCGGACAACACAAUCUAAAGCCCCUCCCCCUACUGGGCCUCUCCAUGCCCCCAUGGAAGAGACCAUGCUAGUAUGAGUAAUAAGGGGGUCCCCCCCCCUCCUUGCACAAGUGUAAAUCGGAACGGACCCUCCACCGACCUCUACCCGGACCCAACCUCAGAGGGCAUUGAGUAUAAAAUAAGGCAACAAGAAAACCGCUCAAUACAACAACCGUUAACCCCACACUGGUGUGCCCACAAGGAUAGACUAAAAGGGAAAGAAGGAACUCAGCAAACACAAGCCUCGCCUGUUUACCAAAAACACCGCCUCUUGAAAACUAAACAUAAGAGGUCCCGCCUGCCCUGUGACAAUACGUUCAACGGCCGCGGUAUUUUGACCGUGCAAAGGUAGCGCAAUCACUUGUCUCUUAAAUGGAGACCUGUAUGAAUGGCAUAACGAGGGCUUAACUGUCUCCUUUCCCCAGUCAAUGAAAUUGAUCUCCCCGUGCAGAAGCGGGGAUCACAACAUAAGACGAGAAGACCCUAUGGAGCUUUAGAUAUCAAGAUAGACCAUGUCAAGAGCCCCAACAAAGGAACAAAACUAAGUGGUAACUAUCCGACUAUCUUUGGUUGGGGCGACCAUGGGGCAACACGAAACCCCCACGCGGAAAGGGGAUAUACAUCCCCAAAACCAAGAGCCACAGCUCUAAGUAACAGUACAUCUGACCACUAAGAUCCGGCAAAGCCGAUCAACGAACCGAGUUACCCUAGGGAUAACAGCGCAAUCCCCUUCUAGAGCCCAUAUCGACAAGGGGGUUUACGACCUCGAUGUUGGAUCAGGACAUCCUAAUGGUGCAGCCGCUAUUAAGGGUUCGUUUGUUCAACGAUUAAAGUCCUACGUGAUCUGAGUUCAGACCGGAGUAAUCCAGGUCAGUUUCUAUCUAUGAAGUGACCUUUUCUAGUACGAAAGGACCGAAAAGGAGAGGCCCAUGCUAAAAGCAUGCCUCCCCCUCACCUAAUGAAAACAACUAAAAUAGGCAAGAGGGCACGCCCCCCUGCCUAAGAAAAUGGCAU
Molecule: ribosomal RNA, 1678 nt
Filed under: Liparis tessellatus (cubed snailfish)
Lineage: Eukaryota; Metazoa; Chordata; Actinopteri; Perciformes; Liparidae
Description: 16S ribosomal RNA
Rfam family: Bacterial large subunit ribosomal RNA
Source: RNAcentral